This 392-nucleotide ribosomal RNA is filed under the name uncultured bacterium. RNAcentral's name for it is "partial 16S ribosomal RNA". It matches the Rfam family "Bacterial small subunit ribosomal RNA", at positions 523 to 918 of the family's 1533-position model. The record is from RNAcentral.
AUACGGAGGAUGCGAGCGUUGUCCGGAUUUAUUGGGUUUAAAGGGUGCGCAGGCGGCCAUUUAAGUCAGCGGUUAAAUCGUGGGGCUCAACCCCAUUCUGCCGUUGAUACUGGGUGGCUUGAUUGCGGUCGAGGUUGGCGGAAUUCGUUGUGUAGCGGUGAAAUGCAUAGAUAUGACGAAGAACACCGAUUGCGUAGGCAGCUGACCAGACCGCAAAUGACGCUCAUGCACGAAAGUGCGGGGAUCGAACAGGAGUAGAUACCCUGGUAGUCCGCACAGUAAACGAUGAAUGCUUGUUUUCGGCGAUAUAAUGUCGGAGGCAAAGCGAAAGCGAUAAGUAUUCCACCUGGGGAGUACGCCGGCAACGGUGAAACUCAAAUGAAUUGACGGGG